This 451-nucleotide ribosomal RNA is filed under the name uncultured bacterium. Its description in RNAcentral is "bacterial SSU rRNA". It matches the Rfam family "Bacterial small subunit ribosomal RNA", at positions 355 to 825 of the family's 1533-position model. The record is from RNAcentral.
UCGAGAAUCUUCCGCAAUGGACGAAAGUCUGACGGAGCGACGCCGCGUGAUGGAUGAAGUCCCUCUGGGACGUAAACAUCUUUUAUGAGGGAGAAAGUUUAUUGAUAGUACCUCACGAAUAAGGGGUUGCUAAACUCGUGCCAGCAGCAGCGGUAAUACGAGUGCCCCGAGCGUUAUCCGGAAUCAUUGGGCGUAAAGGGUGUGUAGGUGGCAUUGUUAGUCACACGUUAAACCCUGGGGCUUAACCCCAGAUCUGCGUGUGAUACGGCAAAGCUAGAGGAUGGCAGGGAUGUAUGGAACUCAUGGAGUAGGGGUGAAAUCCGUUGAUAUCAUGGGGAACACCGAAAGCGAAGGCAGUACAUUGGGCCACUCCUGACACUGAAACACGAAAGCGUGGGUAGCGAAUGGGAUUAGAUACCCAGUAGUCCCUGAGCGGGCUGGCAAGGCGCAU